CCUACGGGAGGCAGCAGUGGGGAAUAUUGCACAAUGGGCGAAAGCCUGAUGCAGCAACGCCGCGUGAAGGAAGACGGUUUUCGGAUUGUAAACUUCUGUUCUUAGUGAAGAAUAAUGACGGUAACUAAGGAGCAAGCCACGGCUAACUACGUGCCAGCAGCUGCGGUAAUACGUAGGGGGCAAGCGUUAUCCGGAUUUACUGGGUGUAAAGGGAGCGUAGACGGCAUAGCAAGUCUGAAGUGAAAGCCCAAGGCUCAACCAUGGGACUGCUUUGGAAACUGUUAAGCUAGAGUGCUGGAGAGGUA
This 305-nucleotide ribosomal RNA is filed under the name uncultured bacterium. Its description in RNAcentral is "bacterial SSU rRNA". It matches the Rfam family "Bacterial small subunit ribosomal RNA", at positions 338 to 659 of the family's 1533-position model. The record is from RNAcentral.